GAUAUAUAAUUGUAGUAAAGUUGAAUACUAAAGAAAAUAGUAUUUAUUAAAAGGGAAUUCGGUUUAAUUCCGUAACAGCCCCCGCUACUGUAAUUGGCUAAUAAUUUUUCAAUAUGUCACUGAGAUUUUUUUCUUGGGAAGGCGAAAAAUUGUGCUUGAUGCCAUAAGUCAGGAGACCUGCUUUACGCAAGAAAACAAU
RNAcentral lists this non-coding RNA (199 nucleotides) under Mollicutes bacterium. The record is from RNAcentral. RNAcentral also lists the same sequence under 1 other name. Lineage: Bacteria; Bacillati; Mycoplasmatota; Mollicutes.